CAGAGAAGUGCUUUAGCAAUAAAGAACCCGGUGACAGGUGCUGCAUGGCUGUCGUCAGCUCGUGUCGUGAGAUGUUGGGUUAAGUCCCGCAACGAGCGCAACCCUCGCCUUUAGUUGCCAGCAUUCAGUUGGGCACUCUAGAGGGACUGCCGGUGUCAAACCGGAGGAAGGUGGGAUGACGUCAAGUCCUCAUGGCCUUUAUGUCUAGGGCUACACACGUACUACAAUGGCCGGUACAAAGGGCAGCCACUCAGCGAUGAGGCGCUAAUCCCAUAAAGCCGGUCUCAGUCCGGAUCGCAGUCUGCAACUCGACUGCGUGAAGUUGGAAUCGCUAGUAAUCGUAGAUCAGCAUGCUACGGUGAAUACGUUCCCGGGCCUU
This 379-nucleotide ribosomal RNA is filed under the name uncultured Desulfovibrio sp. Its description in RNAcentral is "bacterial SSU rRNA". It matches the Rfam family "Bacterial small subunit ribosomal RNA", at positions 1001 to 1382 of the family's 1533-position model. The record is from RNAcentral. Lineage: Bacteria; Pseudomonadati; Thermodesulfobacteriota; Desulfovibrionia; Desulfovibrionales; Desulfovibrionaceae.